Molecule: ribosomal RNA, 465 nt
Filed under: uncultured bacterium
Lineage: Bacteria
Description: bacterial SSU rRNA
Rfam family: Bacterial small subunit ribosomal RNA
Source: RNAcentral
CCUACGGGGCGCACCAGUGGGGAAUAUUGCACAAUGGGCGCAAGCCUGAUGCAGCCAUGCCGCGUGUAUGAAGAAGGCCUUCGGGUUGUAAAGUACUUUCGGCGGGGAGGAAGGCGAUAAGGUUAAUAACCUUGUCGAUUGACGUUACCCGCAGAAGAAGCACCGGCUAACUCCGUGCCAGCAGCCGCGGUAAUACGGAGGGUGCAAGCGUUAAUCGGAAUUACUGGGCGUAAGGCGCACGCAGGCGGUCUGUCAAGUCGGAUGUGAAAUCCCCGGGCUCUACCUGGGAACUGCAUUCGAAACUGGCAGGCUAGAGUCUUGUAGAGGGGGGUAGAAUUCCAGGUGUAGCGGUGAAAUGCGUAGAGAUCUGGAGGAAUACCGGUGGCGAAGGCGGCCCCCUGGACAAAGACUGACGCUCAGGUGCGAAAGCGUGGGGAGCAAACAGGAUUAGAUACCCCCGUAGUC